Molecule: transfer RNA, 70 nt
Filed under: Pagrus pagrus (common seabream)
Lineage: Eukaryota; Metazoa; Chordata; Actinopteri; Spariformes; Sparidae
Description: tRNA-Trp
Rfam family: tRNA
About the family: Transfer RNA (tRNA) molecules are approximately 80 nucleotides in length. Their secondary structure includes four short double-helical elements and three loops (D, anti-codon, and T loops). Further hydrogen bonds mediate the characteristic L-shaped molecular structure. tRNAs have two regions of fundamental functional importance: the anti-codon, which is responsible for specific mRNA codon recognition, and the 3' end, to which the tRNAs corresponding amino acid is attached (by aminoacyl-tRNA synthetases). tRNAs cope with the degeneracy of the genetic code in two manners: having more than one tRNA (with a specific anti-codon) for a particular amino acid; and 'wobble' base-pairing, i.e. permitting non-standard base-pairing at the 3rd anti-codon position.
Source: RNAcentral
AGAGACUUAGGUUAAAUCAGACCAACGGCCUUCAAAGCCGUUAGCGGGAGUUAAAAUCCCCCAGUCCCUG